Molecule: long non-coding RNA, 750 nt
Filed under: Gossypium raimondii (Peruvian cotton)
Lineage: Eukaryota; Viridiplantae; Streptophyta; Magnoliopsida; Malvales; Malvaceae
Description: long non-coding RNA (GRAI_LNC003889)
Source: RNAcentral
AAAAGGUGGGGUCGUAGGUACUGUGUGUUUGAUUUUCUUGAGCUAUUUUUUUGGUUUAGAGAAGCAUGUGUUAGGAUUUUUAAUAUGAAAUAAUACAAUAAUUGUGACGUGUGAUGGGUUGGAUGGUGUGUUUCGUGGUAGUUUAAUUGAGAGUUACUUUGCUGGUUAAUGUGAUGUUCAAAAUUUAGGUUGAAUCGUUCCGACUGGGUUUGAGGCAUAAUAUCAAAUUGCAUGGAGAACAGAUGAGCAUUGGCCUACAUUCCACGAGGAAUAUAUCAACCGUUUGAACAAUAUGUGCGAGGUUUUAGCUAGCCGUGAAGCCAUUAUCGCGCCAGAGUUAGCCUGUAAUCCAAAGUACAGGUCAUGGUUUAAGGUCUAUGGCAAGCCAUAUUUGCUAGUAGAAGAGGUGAAGGGUAGGCAACAGCAUACGAGAAUGCCACGAUGAGUGCCUAGGCAUCUAAGGUUUAGAGCAACUGCCGAAGGGAGCCCAUUCUUUACACCUACGCAAGAACUGGCACCGAUGUCGCACCACCCUCAACUAGUAUGGCUCGACUUAUUCUGGUGCUUUCAUUAACCGUGUCAUUUUUACGUAAGCACUACAUCUGGCACCAUAUUUUUCUGUUUCCACAUCAAUGUCAGGUUUUAUUCUUGGACCUCUGUCCCCGGCAGAUUAUACGCCGAUGCCAUCAACGUUUGAAACGACAAUGAUUCCAAUGAUGAUGUAGAGGUUGUCUAUGUUUAGGGUACCAG